RNAcentral lists this small nucleolar RNA (95 nucleotides) under Papio anubis (olive baboon). Its description in RNAcentral is "Small nucleolar RNA SNORD116 (ENSPANG00000046429.1)". It matches the Rfam family "Small nucleolar RNA SNORD116". Rfam says of the family: HBII-85 is a member of the C/D class of snoRNAs, which contain the C (UGAUGA) and D (CUGA) box motifs. HBII-85 is encoded in a tandemly repeated array with another C/D snoRNA, HBII-52, in the Prader-Willi syndrome (PWS) region of chromosome 15. Lineage: Eukaryota; Metazoa; Chordata; Mammalia; Primates; Cercopithecidae. The record is from Rfam by way of RNAcentral.
GGAUCGAUGAUGAGUCCUCUAUAAAACAUCUCCUUGAAAAGCUGAACAAAAUGAGUGAGAAUCAUACCGGUCAGCUCUCAUCGGAUCUGAGGUCC